UCCGUAGGUGGAAAUUUAAGUCAGUGGUGAAAGCCCACAGCUCAACUGUGGAAUUGCCAUUGAUACUGGAUUUCUUGAAUCUGAUUGAAGUAGGCGGAAUAUGACAUGUAGCGGUGAAAUGCUUAGAUAUGUCAUAGAACACCGAUAGCGAAGGCAGCUUACUAAGUCAGUAUUGACACUAAGGGACGAAAGCGUGGGGAGCGAACAGGAUUAGAUACCCUGGUAGUCCACGCUGUAAACGAUGAUUACUCGCUAUUGGCGAUACACUGUCAGUGGCUAAGCGAAAGUGUUAAGUAAUCCACCUGGGGAGUACGAUCGCAAGGUUGAAACUCAAAGGAAUUGACGGGGGCCCGCACAAGCGGUGGAGCAUGUGGUUUAAUUCGAUGA
RNAcentral lists this ribosomal RNA (387 nucleotides) under uncultured Bacteroidota bacterium. RNAcentral's name for it is "bacterial SSU rRNA". It matches the Rfam family "Bacterial small subunit ribosomal RNA", at positions 568 to 957 of the family's 1533-position model. The record is from RNAcentral. Lineage: Bacteria; Pseudomonadati; Bacteroidota.